Cercocebus atys (sooty mangabey) is the source of this 2150-nucleotide long non-coding RNA. The record is from Ensembl. NCBI's taxonomy places the organism in Eukaryota, Metazoa, Chordata, Mammalia, Primates, Cercopithecidae.
GGCUGCUUUGCAGGUGGCUGGGAGACACAGCUUGUCUCUCUGCCUAUUAAAGAGUGAGCAUAUCCCAUUUACCCGCAACAUAUCAUACAACAGUGUUUCAUAAAUAUAAGGCUGUUUACCCAAGAUGUGAGGCUUAUCCUAACAGGUUAGGAGACAAUGAUGGGCCUGACUCUACUAUUUUGCCUGCUGUCUUUUCAAUUUCCUUUUGUUUUUCCUGCAAGAAACAUUUCUCUGAAGUGCAUGCAAGAUACUGAUGAAUUCCUUUCUGAUCUGAAUUCAGUGAAGCCCAAAGAAUACGCUCUAAGAAGGUUUCUAGGAGCCAUGGUUCAUGCUCUGGAGUGCUUUUCUUGGCAGAAGAAUGUGCCAGCCAUCUGGACUACAAAGACACCAGGCAGCACCUGCUCUGCACUGAAUGGCAUUCGUGUUUUGAGUCUUCUGUGGAUCAUCUCGGGACAUACCAGUCAGAUGACUGCAUGGCUGUCUUUGGGUGCGGAGAGUUGAUGAGCCUUUACUCUGGGAGCAGUCAGGGAAGAGACACUCUUUGGUAUGGCGGGAUCAUGGUGGCCAAAGGAUGGGGGUCUGGCAGCCUUCCCACGAGCAGCCUUCCUUCUGUUUUAGAGACACUGUGUGUGACCUCCCAUCAGUAAGGUUUCCAGGCCAGUGUCUAGUGGCUCAUUUCACUCCCUCUAGGUACAAAUCAGGCACCUGGCUGCCAGGUGAAUACUGAUACCUGGGUAUUGUAUUUUCGUUAUCCAAAAAGCCGAGUUCUCUCUCAUCAUGGUUAACGAAGCCAGGACCUAACAUUUAUUUUUCCUUGAAAAGCAGACAAGCAUAAAUAAAAAUGGUCCACUAAUAUCAAAUCAGUGUUUCUCCACCUUCUUCCUGCUGCUACCGUCCUGAAGCGCUCCUAUCAAUAAUAGUGGUACUCUCUAAACAGGGGGCAAACACAGCCCAGGGCAGAUUGAAGAAGCCUCCUGGGUGAUCUGUACCAGCCCAUGAUAGGUAGUGCUAUAGUCCAAGGGGGUUGUGGCCACUGUAAGUGCAUAAAGGAGCUUAAAGCUCCUGAACGACCGUUAGGGACCUCAGUCACCACCUUUUAUUCCCAGUCUAACUUCUCCUCCUACAUGAAUUACAGUGAUUCUUCUUCUUCUUCUUUUUUCUUUCUUUCUUUCUUUUUUUUUUUGAGACGGAGUCUCACUCUGUUACCCCUUGGGCUGGAGUACAAUGGCGUGAUCUCGGCUCACUGCAACCUCCACCUCCCAGGUUCAAGCGAUUCUCCUGUCUCAGCCUUCCAAGUAGCUGGGAUUAUAGGCGCCUGCCACCACGGCUGGCUAAUUUUUUGUAUUUUUAGUAGACACGGGGUUUCACUAUGUUGGCCAGGCUGGUCUCGAACUCCUGACCUCGUGAUCCACCUGCCUUGGCCUCCCAAGUGUUGGGAUUACAGGCGUGAGCCAUCGGCCCGGCCUAUAGUGAUUCUUAAAACCUGCCCAGUACAACCAAAAGUUGAAGGUGUUCCUCUUGCUUUUUCUGAAAAGAGAAAUCACAUGAUUUUCUUCUAUGAAAUAAAAAGACACUGCUUUUUAAUGUUUGUUACAGAUAACGUGCUUGAAUGGAAAAGCAGAGUGCUUAGAAACCCACUGUACAUUUACUCUCGGAGCGGUCCCUUCUAUCUUGGAGUGGAUACAUUUUUCCUGAUCAGUGGUUGGUUAAGUGCAAGGUCAUUUUUAAAGAUGCAUCAGAAUUCAGACAAAGGAAUAACCCCUAAAGUCAUACUCAGAUACUUUCUCAGUCGCCUGGCAAGGAGUACACAAAUCCUCAUCUUCCUUGGAGCCAUGCUGUUCCUGGCAUCUUUCACAGCCACUGCUCUGAUCACAUUGGCAUAUAAACUUCCUGUGGUGGCUCCAUCAGAAGCCAGUGAAGAGGCGACUGUAUCGUAUUUUGUGGAGUACUACACAAAGCCCUACUGCCGAUUCGGGCCAUUUCUUGUGGGGCUCUUUCGGAGCAUUUACAUGCACCAAAAACAACCAGGAAAACAUUCUCAGAAACCAAGAUGCAGGUCCUGCUGGGGUGGAGCUGCUCCCUGGCCACCCUAUUUGCGGUGGCCGCUCUGGCAUACGUGGUGGACGACGCCUCUGCUUCCUUUCCAGUAG